RNAcentral lists this transfer RNA (74 nucleotides) under Planctomyces sp. RNAcentral describes it as "tRNA-Arg". It matches the Rfam family "tRNA". From Rfam's summary of the family: Transfer RNA (tRNA) molecules are approximately 80 nucleotides in length. Their secondary structure includes four short double-helical elements and three loops (D, anti-codon, and T loops). Further hydrogen bonds mediate the characteristic L-shaped molecular structure. tRNAs have two regions of fundamental functional importance: the anti-codon, which is responsible for specific mRNA codon recognition, and the 3' end, to which the tRNAs corresponding amino acid is attached (by aminoacyl-tRNA synthetases). tRNAs cope with the degeneracy of the genetic code in two manners: having more than one tRNA (with a specific anti-codon) for a particular amino acid; and 'wobble' base-pairing, i.e. permitting non-standard base-pairing at the 3rd anti-codon position. RNAcentral also lists the same sequence under 1 other name. Lineage: Bacteria; Pseudomonadati; Planctomycetota; Planctomycetia; Planctomycetales; Planctomycetaceae. The record is from RNAcentral.
GCCCCCGUAGCUCAGUAGGAUAGAGCGCCCGUUUCCUAAAUGGGAGGCCACAGGUUCGACUCCUGUCGGGGGUA